Molecule: ribosomal RNA, 460 nt
Filed under: uncultured bacterium
Lineage: Bacteria
Description: partial 16S ribosomal RNA
Rfam family: Bacterial small subunit ribosomal RNA
Source: RNAcentral
CCUACGGGAGGCAGCAGUGAGGAAUAUUGGUCAAUGGACGAGAGUCUGAACCAGCCAAGUAGCGUGAAGGAUGACUGCCCUAUGGGUUGUAAACCUCUUUUAUCAGGGAAUAAAAUGCUCCACGUGUGGCAUUUUGUAUGUACCUUAUGAAUAAGGAUCGGCUAACUCCGUGCCAGCAGCCGCGGUAAUACGGAGGAUCCGAGCGUUAUCCGGAUUUAUUGGGUUUAAAGGGGGCGUAGGUGGAUUGUCAAGUCAGUUGUGAAAGUUUGGGGCUCAACCGUAGAAUUGCAGUUGAAACUGGCAGUCUUGAGUACAGUAGAGGUAGGCGGAAUGCGUGGUGUAGCGGUGAAAUGCUUAGAUAUCACGAAGAACUCCGAUUGCGAAGGCAGCUCACUGGAGUGCAACUGACACUGAGGCACGAAAGUGUGGGUAUCGAACAGGAUUAGAUACCCCAGUAGUC